CCUACGGGAGGCAGCAGUGAGGAAUUUUCCGCAAUGGGCGAAAGCCUGACGGAGCAAUGCCACGUGGAGGAGGAAGGCCUGUGGGUCGUAAACUCCUUUUCUCAGAGAAGAAGUUCUGACGGUAUCUGAGGAAUAAGCAUCGGCUAACUCUGUGCCAGCAGCCGCGGUAAUACAGGGGAUGCAAGCGUUAUCCGGAAUUAUUGGGCGUAAAGCGUCCUGAGGUGGCUUACCCAGUCGACUGUGAAAGCUCAAGGCUUAACCUUGAAACGGCAGUCGAAACUUGUAAGCUUGAGUACGGUAGGGGCAGAGGGAAUUCCCGGAGGAGAGGUGAAAUUCGUAGAUAUCGGGAGGAAGGCCAAAGGCGAAAGCACUCUGCUGGGCCGAUUACUGACACUGACAGACGAAAGCUAGGGGAGCGAAAGGGAUUAGAUACCCCUGUAGUCCUAGCCGUAAACGAUGGAUACUAAGUGUUGCGCGACUCAAAACGUGCAGUGCUGCAGCUAACGCGGUAAGUAUCCCGCCUGGGGAGUAUGCCCGNAGGUNAACNAAGAUUGACGNNGAGAGNGCGACGAGACGACGAGGAGAG
RNAcentral lists this ribosomal RNA (586 nucleotides) under uncultured bacterium. RNAcentral describes it as "bacterial SSU rRNA". The stretch from base 1 to 522 matches the Rfam family "Bacterial small subunit ribosomal RNA", at positions 338 to 873 of the family's 1533-position model. The record is from RNAcentral.